CUACGUGCCAGCAGCCGCGGUAAUACGUAGGUGGCAAGCGUUGUCCGGAUUUAUUGGGCGUAAAGCGAGCGCAGGCGGUUCCUUAAGUCUGAUGUGAAAGCCCCCGGCUCAACCGGGGAGGGUCAUUGGAAACUGGGGAACUUGAGUGCAGAAGAGGAGAGUGGAAUUCCAUGUGUAGCGGUGAAAUGCGUAGAUAUAUGGAGGAACACCGAUGGCGAAGGCAGGUCUCUGGGCUGUAACUGACGCUGAGAAGCGAAAGCAUGGGGAGCGAACAGGAUUAGAUACCCUGGUAGUCCAUGCCGUAAACGUUGGGCACUAGGUGUGGGGGACAUUCCACGUUUUCCGCGCCGUAGCUAACGCAUUAAGUGCCCCGCCUGGGGAGUACGGCCGCAAGGCUAAAACUCAAAGAAAUUGACGGGGGCCCGCACAAGCGGCGGAGCAUGCGGAUUAAUUCGAUGCAACGCGAAGAACCUUACCAAGGCUUGACAU
RNAcentral lists this ribosomal RNA (489 nucleotides) under uncultured bacterium. Its description in RNAcentral is "bacterial SSU rRNA". It matches the Rfam family "Bacterial small subunit ribosomal RNA", at positions 501 to 987 of the family's 1533-position model. The record is from RNAcentral.